UACAGAGGUCCCCAAGCGUUGUUCGGAUUCACUGGGCGUAAAGGGUGCGUAGGUGGCGGGGUAAGUUCGGUGUGAAAUCUUCGAGCUCAACUCGAAAAUGGCAUUGAAAACUACCUCGCUCGAGGGUCGGAGGGGAGACUGGAAUUCUCGGUGUAGCAGUGAAAUGCGUAGAUAUCGAGAGGAACACCAGUGGCGAAGGCGAGUCUCUGGACGACUCCUGACACUGAGGCACGAAAGCUAGGGGAGCAAACAGGAUUAGAAACCCCUGUAGU
This 272-nucleotide ribosomal RNA is filed under the name uncultured bacterium. Its description in RNAcentral is "partial 16S ribosomal RNA". It matches the Rfam family "Bacterial small subunit ribosomal RNA", at positions 524 to 794 of the family's 1533-position model. The record is from RNAcentral.